AUAUCAAUAAGCGGAGGAAAAGAAACCAACAGGGAUUACCCUAGUAACGGCGAGUGAAGCGGUAACAGCUCAAAUUUGAAAUCUGACCUUCACGGGUCCGAGUUGUAAUUUGUAGAGGAUGUUUCGGAUAAGGCUUUGGUUUAAGUUUCUUGGAACAGAACGUCAUAGAGGGUGAGAGUCCCGUCUAGAGCCGAUAGCCGCGUCCAUGUGAAACUCCUUCGACGAGUCGAGUUGUUUGGGAAUGCAGCUCAAAAUGGGUGGUAAAUUUCAUCUAAAGCUAAAUAUUGGCCAGAGACCGAUAGCGCACAAGUAGAGUGAUCGAAAGAUGAAAAGCACUUUGAAAAGAGAGUUAAACAGUACGUGAAAUUGUUGAAAGGGAAGCGCUCAUGACCAGACUUGGGCUUGGUUGAUCAACUUGGGUUCUCCCGGGUGCACUCUUCCUCGUCCAGGCCAGCAUCAGUUCGCUGCGGGGGAUAAAGGUUUCGGGAAUGUGGCUCCCUCGGGAGUGUUAUAGCCCGUUGCGUAAUACCCUGCGGUGGACUGAGGUCCGCGCAUCUGCAAGGAUGCUGGCGUAAUGGUCAUCAGCGA
This 588-nucleotide ribosomal RNA is filed under the name uncultured fungus. RNAcentral's name for it is "eukaryotic LSU rRNA". It matches the Rfam family "Eukaryotic large subunit ribosomal RNA", at positions 40 to 647 of the family's 3401-position model. Lineage: Eukaryota; Fungi. The record is from RNAcentral.